RNAcentral lists this ribosomal RNA (250 nucleotides) under uncultured bacterium. Its description in RNAcentral is "partial 16S ribosomal RNA". It matches the Rfam family "Bacterial small subunit ribosomal RNA", at positions 524 to 773 of the family's 1533-position model. The record is from RNAcentral.
UACGUAGGUGGCAAGCGUUGUCCGGAAUUACUGGGUGUAAAGGGUGCGCAGGCGGGACUGCAAGUUGGAUGUGAAAAUUCGAGGCUUAACCUCGAACCUGCAUCCAAAACUGUAGUUCUUGAGUGAAGUAGAGGUAGGCGGAAUUCCGAGUGUAGCGGUGAAAUGCGUAGAUAUUCGGAGGAACACCAGUGGCGAAGGCGGCCUACUGGGCUUUAACUGACGCUGAGGCACGAAAGCAUGGGGAGCAAAC